Molecule: non-coding RNA, 125 nt
Filed under: Palpitomonas bilix
Lineage: Eukaryota
Source: RNAcentral
AGGAUGAAAGUGAAGAAGAAAGGAGAAAGAAGUAAAAGAAAGGAGGGAAAAGUCACACCUCACUUUUCCUUCUUCCUUUUUUCACCCUUCUCUUCGUGUGUUCUCCCUCCUUCCUCCUCCUCUUU